UUAACCAGCACAGCAGGUCAGAAUAAAAGUGUUCCUAUGUUAAGCAUCAAUAAUUCUAACAGAGAUUUGGUGAAUCACCAAAUCGCAAUAGAGUUAAAACAGCAAUUAGUAUUCCUUUUCUCGUAUUUCUCGAAAGAAAUUAACCUAUCCACUGAGGAACGAACAGUACACAGGGUGUUGUCGAAGAGGGACACGUGGAUAAGGCAAUGUUUCUCGCCGACCAACCAUGUAAAAAAGUUGUGGUGAUCCAGCAAAAAGCAAGGUUCUGUUUAACAUUGGGGACAAGACAGCUAAAACAAUCAGCUUGUAAAAAGAAAACCAGAUUUUGGUUUGCUGCUGUUCCUGGAUGGACAAUGAAAAACUGAAGCAAUACCCUUUUAAGCUGGCAACUCACGUUCAAACUCAUUUGGCAUGAAGAUAUCAUUUAUUUGGGAAUAUUUGUUCACGUAAAUACAAGGUUUGUCGGAUAUGUGUAGGCGGCUUCAACACUUGGGAUCUAGCAGUUAUUACACUGGUGGUGUUGGCCCCAUGAAUCUUAUUUUUUUUUUUU
Molecule: long non-coding RNA, 550 nt
Organism: Daphnia carinata
Lineage: Eukaryota; Metazoa; Arthropoda; Branchiopoda; Diplostraca; Daphniidae
Exons: 4
Source: RefSeq, a predicted model, not a curated record